RNAcentral lists this ribosomal RNA (549 nucleotides) under Etisus electra. Its description in RNAcentral is "partial large subunit ribosomal RNA". It matches the Rfam family "Bacterial large subunit ribosomal RNA", at positions 1832 to 2625 of the family's 2925-position model. The record is from RNAcentral. Lineage: Eukaryota; Metazoa; Arthropoda; Malacostraca; Decapoda; Xanthidae.
GUCUACUUGAAGGUAUAAGUAGUCUGGCCUGCUCACUGAUAAAAUUAUUUAAGAGCCGCGGUAUCUUGACCGUGCAAAGGUAGCAUAAUCAUUAGGGGUUUAAUUGGAACCUGGAAUGAAGGGUUGGACAAAGGAAAGACUGUCUUGCCAGCAAAGAUUGAAAUUUACUUUUAAGUGAAAAGGCUUAAAUAUCUCAGGGGGACGAUAAGACCCUAUAAAGCUUUAUGGAUAAUUUAAAUUUGGUUAAUUUACAAAAAUAAAAGUUAAAUUUAAUUGUUCUAUUUUAUUGGGGUGAUGUGAGCAUAAUUAUUACUAACUGCUUAGUGAAAACACUGUAUAUAGUAGAAUCUAAAGUGGAUGAUCCUUUAUAAAGAUUAAAAGACUAAGUUACUUUAGGGAUAACAGCGUUAUUUUUUUUGAGAGUUCAUAUCGAAAAAAAAGAUUGCGACCUCGAUGUUGAAUUAAAAAGUCUAUAUAAUGCAGCAGUUAUAAAAGAAGGUCUGUUCGACCUUUAAACUUUUACAUGAUUUGAGUUCAGACCGGCGUGAG